CGGUCGUCUCUAAUAUAGACGGCUAAUGACGGUACCUGAAGAAUAAGCACCGGCUAACUACGUGCCAGCAGCCGCGGUAAUACGUAGGGUGCAAGCGUUAAUCGGAAUUACUGGGCGUAAAGCGUGCGCAGGCGGUUUCGUAAGUCAGAUGUGAAAUCCCCGGGCUCAACCUGGGAAUGGCAUUUGAGACUGCGAGGCUAGAGUGUGUCAGAGGGGGGUAGAAUUCCACGUGUAGCAGUGAAAUGCGUAGAGAUGUGGAGGAAUACCGAUGGCGAAGGCAGCCCCCUGGGAUAACACUGACGCUCAUGCACGAAAGCGUGGGGAGC
This 326-nucleotide ribosomal RNA is filed under the name uncultured beta proteobacterium. RNAcentral's name for it is "bacterial SSU rRNA". It matches the Rfam family "Bacterial small subunit ribosomal RNA", at positions 452 to 769 of the family's 1533-position model. The record is from RNAcentral. Lineage: Bacteria; Pseudomonadati; Pseudomonadota; Betaproteobacteria.